GUGUCGGCUGCUUUGUUGAGCCGUCACA
Molecule: small nuclear RNA, 28 nt
Filed under: Arabidopsis thaliana (thale cress)
Lineage: Eukaryota; Viridiplantae; Streptophyta; Magnoliopsida; Brassicales; Brassicaceae
Description: snRNA_03356
Source: RNAcentral